AUGGAGGUGGUAGAAAGCUCGGAGGAAGUUGCUGAAGUAACUCAAUUAGGAGGCAGCGGGUUUAGGUUCGUCAUCAACUUGCAUGACAACACAUGUUCUUGUAGACAAUGGCAAGUUUCUAGCCUUCCUUGCAAACAUGCUCUAGCAUUCGUCACAUCACUUGUCAAUGCACGUGUAGAGAAUUAUGUGGACUCAUAUUACUCCAUUGACAAGUUUAGAGCAACUUAUGGCCAACUAAUCCCUGCUAUGUUUGACAAGACCCAGUGGCCUAAAUCUAACCAUGGAUUCUUCAUGCAUCCACCCUUGCUAAAAGCAAUAGCUGGUUGGCCCCAAACAGAGAAGCAUAAGGGUUAUAGUGAGAAAAAGAGGAAAAGUGGCCAGCAAUUAUGCCCUAUUUGUAAGGAAUACGGGCACCAUUGGCCCAAAGAACCACCAAAGAAGAGGAGGAAGACUACCAAAUCAGCCCAGUCAUCCAUUGUGCCAAGAGGUGAUGAAGCACCAGCAACCGCUAUGUCCUUUCCACCAAGCCAAAGCUUAGAAAUUACAACCAAGAAGAAAGGAAAACACAGCCAAACUUGGAGACUACAAAGAAGAAAAAUGGAAAAGGGUGUAAAAGGUGAUCUUUUGCUGCCAUACAUGUACAAGUGCAGAUCAGGGAAGGGGAAGAAGAUGGAGCUUGCUAUAAAGGAUGAAAUUUGUCCUAUGGUGCCAUUUGACAGCCCCGCAAUGAGCACAAGAAGCAAACGAAGACUUAGCUUGUGA
This 762-nucleotide ribosomal RNA is filed under the name Triticum aestivum (bread wheat). Its description in RNAcentral is "partial small subunit ribosomal RNA". The record is from RNAcentral. Lineage: Eukaryota; Viridiplantae; Streptophyta; Magnoliopsida; Poales; Poaceae.